RNAcentral lists this microRNA precursor (130 nucleotides) under Paramuricea clavata. The record is from RNAcentral. Lineage: Eukaryota; Metazoa; Cnidaria; Anthozoa; Malacalcyonacea; Plexauridae.
ACCAUAGGCAGCCCAAUGUUAUGGUUGCCUGCCUGCCUGCCUGCGCGCGGGCGAGGCAUUGUAUAGUUGUAACACAACUAUACAAUGCCUCGCCUGCGCGCAGGCAGGCAGGCAACCAUAACACGUUGGG